RNAcentral lists this non-coding RNA (203 nucleotides) under Enterococcus sulfureus. Its description in RNAcentral is "T-box sequence". It matches the Rfam family "T-box leader". From Rfam's summary of the family: Uncharged tRNA acts as the effector for transcription antitermination of genes in the T-box leader family. The record is from RNAcentral. Lineage: Bacteria; Bacillati; Bacillota; Bacilli; Lactobacillales; Enterococcaceae.
AGAAAAACGUUGAUGGAAACAAGUAAUUUUUACCCAGCUGUACAGGGAAAUUUGCCAUAGACUGCAAGCAAAUUCAGUAUGAAAAAAUGAAAUUCACUUCCUAGUUAGCAUUUGAGAAAAUGCCGGUAGAUGACUGCCGUUAUGAAAGUAAGAGCGUGAGUUUCUCACGAAUUAGGAUGGUAUCGCGAGCCUUCGUUCCUUUA